Molecule: small RNA, 57 nt
Filed under: Salinivibrio sp. KP-1
Lineage: Bacteria; Pseudomonadati; Pseudomonadota; Gammaproteobacteria; Vibrionales; Vibrionaceae
Description: Pseudomonas sRNA P26
Rfam family: Pseudomonas sRNA P26
About the family: P26 is conserved across many Gammaproteobacteria species and appears to be consistently located between the DNA directed RNA polymerase (beta subunit) and 50S ribosomal protein L7/L12 genes.
Source: Rfam by way of RNAcentral
AUACUUAAUUUCCUAGCCUGAAAAGGCAUUGGCUGGUGGCUAAAAAGCCACCGGCCU